This is a non-coding RNA of Plasmodium vinckei petteri, 73 nucleotides long. NCBI's taxonomy places the organism in Eukaryota, Apicomplexa, Aconoidasida, Haemosporida, Plasmodiidae. The record is from Rfam.
GCGGGCAUGGUCUAGUGGUUAUGACGCCUGCUUUACACGCAGGAGAUCCCGAGUUCGAUCCUCGGUGCCCGUA